UUCCAGGGUCAGAGGUGCCCCAGAGUGAAUUCAUGAGACUGAAGCAGCCCUGGAACUGGUAAACGCUGAGGAUACUAGCCAGCACAGAAGAGACUGUCAGGUCUAACGGAGGCCCAAGCUGAACUUCAGCAGAGAAACCAGUAAGAAUUUUGCCAUGGAUAUCAGCAAAGGCGCUAAGGAUUUGAUCCCGAGAGAUGGUGAACAGCCACAACUCCUGCUGAAUUCAACUCCUCCGCGGAACAGCCCUUAAGGAGGAAUGGAAUUACCUGGGAUGGUCAAAAGGAGUUUAAGAGUCUGCAGAGAGACUGGGACAAUAACUCUGAAAGGUCUGAGCUCACCUCCCGCACCCUUCAGUACAAUGGGAUAGUAAGUCUAACACCUAAAGCUGACAGUUUGAAUGUCCUACCAGACGGCUAAACCUCCAGUUUCCUCCCUGACAACUUCUACGAUGCAGAUCUGCAUUCCCAAGACAUAAAUCUGCAGCAUACUGAAAACUGAUCAUGUGGAAACAGCGUAAAAUGAAUUGAAUCUCAACAUGACACAGCGGACACUCUGCUGAGUGUAUUAUUCAUUUCCAUAUUUAAUUCAUUACAUUUCUCCAUUUUUUUUUUCAAUUUACAUGGAGCUGCAACACAUUUUCCAGCCUGUUGUGCUGGAAAGCUGCAGAGCCCAGGGACCUUGCUGCUGAAUGUAAGACCUUCUUGUCAUAUUGUUCGUGGGCCUUUGUCCUCAGGAAACCAGAUAGAUCCCAGGUAGAUAACAUUGGGUUACUACCUAUUGCUAAGUGAAUGUAGAAGCAGGUAUUGGGAAGUAAAAGCAGGGUUUCUGGCAGCAGGGAGAAGGGCAGGAUUCUUGCCUGGAAUAAGAACCACGCUUACUGAACCUCCAGUCUGCAUUCCCCAGGUGGUCUGCCCUACUAGUUCU
Molecule: long non-coding RNA, 924 nt
Organism: Mauremys mutica (yellowpond turtle)
Lineage: Eukaryota; Metazoa; Chordata; Testudines; Geoemydidae
Exons: 4
Source: RefSeq, a predicted model, not a curated record